RNAcentral lists this ribosomal RNA (248 nucleotides) under uncultured Muribaculaceae bacterium. RNAcentral describes it as "partial 16S ribosomal RNA". It matches the Rfam family "Bacterial small subunit ribosomal RNA", at positions 524 to 772 of the family's 1533-position model. Lineage: Bacteria; Pseudomonadati; Bacteroidota; Bacteroidia; Bacteroidales; Muribaculaceae. The record is from RNAcentral.
UACGGAGGAUGCGAGCGUUAUCCGGAUUUAUUGGGUUUAAAGGGUGCGUAGGCGGGAGAUCAAGUCAGCGGUAAAAAUGCGGGGCCCAACCCCGUCGAGCCGUUGAAACUGGUUUUCUUGAGUGGGCGAGAGGUAUGCGGAAUGCGUGGUGUAGCGGUGAAAUGCAUAGAUAUCACGCAGAACCCCGAUUGCGAAGGCAGCAUACCGGCGCCCAACUGACGCUGAGGCACGAAAGCGUGGGUAUCGAA